Molecule: ribosomal RNA, 573 nt
Filed under: Triticum aestivum (bread wheat)
Lineage: Eukaryota; Viridiplantae; Streptophyta; Magnoliopsida; Poales; Poaceae
Description: partial small subunit ribosomal RNA
Source: RNAcentral
AUGUUUAGUACAAACGUUUCUUUGCAGGAAAAACAGGAUAUCAGGAACUUAUUUCCAGUGCCAGAUAUGGAUAACUCCUUCACCCAUUUGGGUCAUCCUCUUAUUCUUCCGGCUAAGGAUAGAGCUAGAGCUUAUAAUUUUGUGUACGAUAAAUUUAAGUCGAAGCUCUCUACUUACAAAGCUAAUAGGCUUUCACAUGCAGCUAGAUUGACCUUGAUCAAAUCUGUGUUCUCUUCAAUUCCUGUCUACUACAUGUCCAUCAUUUUGUUUUCUAAGAAAUUUCUUGCUAGGCUCACAUCUAUCAUCAGGAAUUUUUGGUGGACAUGUAUUAAGGAAGACUCUACUAAAAGGGCUCUAUGUUUGAGAGCCUGGGCGGACAUAUGCACAGAUAAGAAGAUAGGAGGCCUAGGAAUUAGGAAUCUACAAGCCAUCAACCAAAGUUUAAUUCUUUCUGCAGCUUGGAGAAUAGCUAAGGAGCCUAACAGUAAUUUGGCUCUUAUUCUCAAGUCAAAGUACUAUGCAAAUACCUCAUUUUGGAGAGCAGAAGCCAAUAUGCCUAAGUCAGCUUUCUGA